GUAGCCUUGCACCUUCGAGGUUCUCCGCCCUGCGGAGCCAAGAUGGGAAUGCGGUCCAAGCCGCAGCUGCCCCCGCAACUGUAAGCGGUGUACACCCAGGCAAUGCCACUGCGCCGCGCGCGGGAAGGUGCCUGGGUCGGCCACAGGCCACGCUGCAAGCCAGGAGACCUGCCUCGAAACAGACUUCCAC
Molecule: non-coding RNA, 190 nt
Filed under: Pseudomonas sp.
Lineage: Bacteria; Pseudomonadati; Pseudomonadota; Gammaproteobacteria; Pseudomonadales; Pseudomonadaceae
Also listed under: 1 other name
Source: RNAcentral